This 271-nucleotide ribosomal RNA is filed under the name uncultured bacterium. RNAcentral's name for it is "partial 16S ribosomal RNA". It matches the Rfam family "Bacterial small subunit ribosomal RNA", at positions 524 to 794 of the family's 1533-position model. The record is from RNAcentral.
GACGGAUGGGGCUAGCGUUGUUCGGAAUUACUGGGCGUAAAGGGCGCGUAGGCGGCCAAUUAAGUUAGACGUGAAAGCCCUGGGCUUAACCUAGGAACUGCGUUUAAUACUGGUUGGCUAGAGUUUGGUAGAGGAAAGCGGAAUUCCUAGUGUAGAGGUGAAAUUCGUAGAUAUUAGGAAGAACACCAGAGGCGAAGGCGGCUUUCUGGACCAAUACUGACGCUGAGGCGCGAAAGCGUGGGGAGCAAACAGGAUUAGAUACCCGGGUAGU